GUAAAAGAUAGUAUAAAAGACCUUUCUUUUCGCAAUCAGCAUUCAACCGAUUCCAACCUUCCAGUAGAAGAGGUGUCACUAAGGAGUUGCAGGAACUUGCAGGAUGAGAUUGUGGAUGCUUACAUUGUGUGUGCUUCUCUCUGCCUGUUACGUUACACAGCAGCUGAAAUGUAACCACUGCAUAGACAUCAGAGAGAUGCCCGACUGCAGCCAACCUGAGGAGAUCGAAUGCAGCCCCCCUCACAGCUACUGCCUGAAUAUGACAAUGUACCCACCUGCCUAUGGCAUCGUGCGACGCUGUGCCACCUCGCGGGACUGCACGUAUAUAAAAAGCAGGCCUGUGCACCUGAUGGACGCAAACUGCUGUAAGACCGAUCUCUGCAACUGAGCUCGGCUGAGCCAAUUGGAGGAGAAGCUUCCUUGCUUGGACCUAGCGAAUCAGUAGCUCAUUGUGCAUUUAGCAGAACCAAUCACAGAUCUUGAGCUGAAAUAAAGAGGUAUUGCUGGCAGUCUUUGUUCUUAUUGAUAAUUAAUGAUCUUAAUUAAUCCUAAGAUACUGGUACAUAAUGGCCAUGAUAUUGCACUUAAUGAAUUGACUUUGAACUUGAGUAAUGACACCUUGAAAUUGAAAACCAUUGAAAUUAUAGCAACUAAAAAAUGAAGCUUAUUGCUUUGUAUUUCUUUUAGACUCAGGGGUGAAAUAUGUUUAUAGAAAUCUAUAGAAUAUCAGCAGAAUGUCUAUGUACUACCUAUUCCCAGCUGUUGUAUCAAACCCCACACUAUAAAGAACUGCAAAGUUCUGUCAUUUUUUGUCAUAGAUUGCUUGCAAUGAUUUACAAGGUUCACUGAUCAUUAAAAUGCACAAAACACUGA
This is a long non-coding RNA of Paramormyrops kingsleyae, 873 nucleotides long. RefSeq lists it as uncharacterized. The record is from RefSeq and is a predicted model, not a curated record. NCBI's taxonomy places the organism in Eukaryota, Metazoa, Chordata, Actinopteri, Osteoglossiformes, Mormyridae.